GACGAACGCUGGCGGCGUGCUUAACACAUGCAAGUCGAACGAAGAGCGAUGGAAGCUUGCUUCUAUCAAUCUUAGUGGCGAACGGGUGAGUAACGCGUAAUCAACCUGCCCUUCAGAGGGGGACAACAGUUGGAAACGACUGCUAAUACCGCAUACGAUCUAACCUCGGCAUCGAGGAUAGAUGAAAGGUGGCCUCUACAUGUAAGCUAUCACUGAAGGAGGGGAUUGCGUCUGAUUAGCUAGUUGGCGGGGUAACGGCCCACCAAGGCGAUGAUCAGUAGCCGGUCUGAGAGGAUGAACGGCCACAUUGGGACUGAGACACGGCCCAGACUCCUACGGGAGGCAGCAGUGGGGAAGCUUCCGCAAUGGACGAAAGUCUGACGGAGCAACGCCGCGUGAGUGAUGACGGCCUUCGGGUUGUAAAGCUCUGUUAAUCGGGACGAAAGGCCUUCUUGCGAAUAGUGAGAAGGAUUGACGGUACCGGAAUAGAAAGCCACGGCUAACUACGUG
RNAcentral lists this ribosomal RNA (510 nucleotides) under uncultured bacterium. RNAcentral describes it as "partial 16S ribosomal RNA". It matches the Rfam family "Bacterial small subunit ribosomal RNA", at positions 28 to 507 of the family's 1533-position model. The record is from RNAcentral.